AACAGGAUUAGAUACCCUGGUAGUCCAUGCCGUAAACGUUGGGAACUAGAUGUGGGGACCAUUCCACGGUCUCCGUGUCGCAGCUAACGCAUUAAGUUCCCCGCCUGGGGAGUACGGCCGCAAGGCUAAAACUCAAAGGAAUUGACGGGGGCCCGCACAAGCGGCGGAGCAUGCGGAUUAAUUCGAUGCAACGCGAAGAACCUUACCAAGGCUUGACAUAUAGAGGAAACGGCUGGAAACAGUCGCCCCGCAAGGUCUCUAUACAGGUGGUGCAUGGUUGUCGUCAGCUCGUGUCGUGAGAUGUUGGGUUAAGUCCCGCAACGAGCGCAACCCUCGUCCUAUGUUGCCAGCACGUAAUGGUGGGAACUCAUGGGAUACUGCCGGGGUCAACUCGGAGGAAGGUGGGGAUGACGUCAAAUCAUCAUGCCCCUUAUGUCUUGGGCUUCACGCAUGCUACAAUGGCCGGUACAAAGGGCUGCAAUACCGCAAGGUGGAGCGAAUCCCAAAAAGCCGGUCUCAGUUCGGAUUGAGGUCUGCAACUCGACCUCAUGAAGUCGGAGUCGCUAGUAAUCGCAGAUCAGCAACGCUGCGGUGAAUACGUUCCCGGGCCUUGUACACACCGCCCGUCAAGUCAUGAAAGUCGGUAACACCCGAAGCCGGUGGCCUAACCCUCACGGGAAGGAGCUGUCGAAGGUGGGAUCGGUGAUUAGGACUAAGUCGUAACAAGGUAGCCGUACCGGAAGGUGCGGCUGGAUCACCUCCUUUCUAAGGA
RNAcentral lists this ribosomal RNA (772 nucleotides) under Cryobacterium sp. MDB2-33-2. Its description in RNAcentral is "bacterial SSU rRNA". It matches the Rfam family "Bacterial small subunit ribosomal RNA", at positions 771 to 1533 of the family's 1533-position model. The record is from RNAcentral. Lineage: Bacteria; Bacillati; Actinomycetota; Actinomycetes; Micrococcales; Microbacteriaceae.